CUCCUCCUUCUGGUCGCAGACUCUUCCGGUUAGGUCGGCUAGCUCCGAAAAAUCCAUCAUCUUCAUCUGCCAUUCUUCUAUCGUUGGUAAUUCUUGGGUUUUCCACUUUUUAGCUAAUAAAAUACGCGCAGCAGUCGUGGCAUAUUAAAACAAUUUAACAUCUCUCUUGGGUAGUUCCAAACCUGUUAUUCUAAGAAGUAAGGCCUCUGGUUUCUUUAUAAAUGUAUGUUUCAACAUUUUUUUCAAACCGUUAUAUAUAUUUUCCCAGAAGUCUUUCACCUUGGGGCAGGUCCACCACAUAUGAUAAAAUGUUC
This is a non-coding RNA of Podarcis lilfordi (Lilford's wall lizard), 314 nucleotides long. The record is from the annotation of a GenBank genome assembly. NCBI's taxonomy places the organism in Eukaryota, Metazoa, Chordata, Lepidosauria, Squamata, Lacertidae.